This 383-nucleotide small RNA is filed under the name uncultured bacterium. RNAcentral describes it as "bacterial SSU rRNA". The stretch from base 1 to 258 matches the Rfam family "Bacterial small subunit ribosomal RNA", at positions 83 to 358 of the family's 1533-position model. The record is from RNAcentral.
CCCGCAAGGGGAGCGGCAGACGGGAGAGUAACACGUGGGAACAUACCUUUUGGUUCGGAACAACUGAGGGAAACUUCAGCUAAUACCGGAUAAGCCCUUACGGGGAAAGAUUUAUCGCCGAAAGAUUGGCCCGCGUCUGAUUAGCUAGUUGGUGAGGUAACGGCUCACCAAGGCGACGAUCAGUAGCUGGUCUGAGAGGAUGAUCAGCCUCAUUGGGACUGAGACACGGCCCAAACUCCUACGGGAGGCAGCAGUGGGACUCCUACGGGAGGCAGCAGUGGGACUCCUACGGGAGGCAGCAGUGGGACUCCUACGGGAGGCAGCGGAGGGACUCCUACGGGAGGCUGCAGGGGUGAUUUCUAGAAAUCUCCUACAAAUUUCAG